Long non-coding RNA from Toxotes jaculatrix (banded archerfish), 550 nucleotides. RefSeq lists it as uncharacterized. The transcript has 3 exons. The record is from RefSeq and is a predicted model, not a curated record. NCBI's taxonomy places the organism in Eukaryota, Metazoa, Chordata, Actinopteri, Toxotidae.
UUCUCCAACAUGGCCACCUCCACAUCGUGCACACACUGUGUAUUGUGUGGGAGGUCUCAGCUGGUGUGCCUUUCUUUCUGUCUGUCUUUUCGUGUCUCUCUAUGUGAGUCUGUCUGUCUCUGUGUGGGUCUUUAACCUGUGAAGAAGACGAAGGCCGAGCUGGGCCGUGCUGGGCCGUGCUGGACCGAGUCCUCCCUGAUAAAGGCGACGCCACCCCCACCUCUGCGCCAUGUGAUGGAUCUCUGUGGAUACUGACCCCCCAACACCAGGCAGGACAGUCAGGGACUCUGAGACCAGAUCGGAGACUGUGAAGGACAGAGACUUUAGUAGUCUUACUAAUUCCAUCAUACUCAGUUGCAGGCUGCACGAGCCAGACGGUGACGGAGGCUGACGGAGGUUCAGAGGUUUCCUGUGCCAACGGAGGAUUCAGUGUGGGACGCUGUGACCCAGAGACGCCGAGUCCCAGAGGAACCCAGUCCCAGAGACGUGUGAAGAAGACGAAGGCCGAGCUGGACCGUGCUGGACCGAGUCCUCCCUGAUGAAGGCGACG